RNAcentral lists this ribosomal RNA (760 nucleotides) under uncultured Desulfuromonadales bacterium. RNAcentral describes it as "bacterial SSU rRNA". It matches the Rfam family "Bacterial small subunit ribosomal RNA", at positions 8 to 740 of the family's 1533-position model. Lineage: Bacteria; Pseudomonadati; Thermodesulfobacteriota; Desulfuromonadia; Desulfuromonadales. The record is from RNAcentral.
AUAGUUUGAUGCUGGCUCAGAACGAACGCUGGCGGCGUGCCUAACACAUGCAAGUCGAACGAGAAAGCAUCUUCGGAUGUGAGUAAAGUGGCGCACGGGUGAGUAUCACGUGGGUAACCUACCCUUUGUUGUUCGGGACAACACUUCGAAAGAGGUGCUAAUACCGGAUAAGACCACGCCCUGUUUGCAGGGUGCGGUAAAAGAUGGCCUCUCCAUGGAAGCUAUCGCCGAAGGAUGGGCCCGCGUCCCAUCAGCUUGUUGGUGAGGUAACGGCUCACCAAAGCUAAGACGGGUAGCUGGUCUGAGAGGAUGUCCAGCCACACUGGAACUGAGACACGGUCCAGACUCCUACGGGAGGCAGCAGUGGGGAAUAUUGCGCAAUGGGCGAAAGCCUGACGCAGCGACGCCGCGUGAGUGAUGAAGGCCUUCGGGUCGUAAAGCUCUGUCGGACUGGAAAGAAUACGCUCGGGGAACAAUACCCCCGGGCCUUGACGGUACCGGUCCAGAAAGCACCGGCUAACUCCGCGCCAGCAGCCGCGGUAAUACGGAGGGUGCAAGCGUUGUUCGGAAUCAUUGGUCGUAAAGCGCGUGUAGGCGGGGUGGUAUGUCGGAUGUGAAAGCCCUCGGCUCAACCGAGGAAUUGCAUCCGAAACUGUCAUUCUUGAGUACGGGAGAGGGAAGCGGAAUUUCCAGUGUAGAGGUGAAAUUCGUAGAUAUUGGAAGGAACACCAGUGGCGAAGGCGGCUUCCUGGACCGAUAC